GGUCCAGACUCCUACGGGAGGCAGCAGUGGGGAAUAUUGGGCAAUGGGCGCAAGCCUGACUCAGCAACGCCGCGUGAAGGAAGACGGCUUUCGGGUUGUAAACUUCUUUUGUCAGGGACGAAGCAAGUGACGGUACCUGACGAAUAAGCCACGGCUAACUACGUGCCAGCAGCCGCGGUAAUACGUAGGUGGCAAGCGUUAUCCGGAUUUAUUGGGUGUAAAGGGCGUGUAGGCGGGAAUGCAAGUCAGAUGUGAAAUCCCGCGGCUCAACCGCGGAACUGCAUUUGAAACUGUCAGUCUUGAGUACCGGAGAGGUCAUCGGAAUUCCUUGUGUAGCGGUGAAAUGCGUAGAUAUAAGGAAGAACACCAGUGGCGAAGGCGGAUGACUGGACGGCAACUGACGGUGAGGCGCAAAAGCGUGGGGAGCAAACAGGAUUAGAUACCCCCGUAC
This 451-nucleotide ribosomal RNA is filed under the name uncultured bacterium. RNAcentral's name for it is "bacterial SSU rRNA". It matches the Rfam family "Bacterial small subunit ribosomal RNA", at positions 328 to 793 of the family's 1533-position model. The record is from RNAcentral.